AGUGGCGAACGGGUGCGUAACACGUGAGUGACCUGCCCUUGUGUGGGGGAUAACCCGGGGAAACCCGGGCUAAUACCGCAUGAAAUCGGAUCAUCGCAUGGUGAACCGAGCAAAGCUCCUUCGGGAGUGCGCAGGGAGGGGCUCGCGGCGUAUCAGCUAGUUGGUAGGGUAACGGCCUACCAAGGCAACGACGCGUAGGGGGUCUGAGAGGAUGGCCCCCCACAUUGGGACUGAGAUACGGCCCAGACUCC
This 251-nucleotide ribosomal RNA is filed under the name uncultured bacterium. Its description in RNAcentral is "partial 16S ribosomal RNA". It matches the Rfam family "Bacterial small subunit ribosomal RNA", at positions 94 to 339 of the family's 1533-position model. The record is from RNAcentral.